CGUCUAUAUACGUAUAGCAUAUCAAUAAGCGGAGGAAAAGAAACUAACUAGGAUUCCCUCAGUAACGGCGAGUGAAGCGGGAAGAGCUCAAAUUUGAAAUCUUCAAGGUUCUACCUUGACGAAUUGUAGUUUAAAGAAGUGUUUUCUGUUGGAGUUUUGGUAAAAGUUCUUUGGAAUAGGACAUCAUAGAGGGUGAGAAUCCCGUAUUUGACCAUUAUUUCCAACUUUGUGAUACACUUUCAAAGAGUCGGAUUGUUUGGGAAUGCAGUCCAAAAUGGGUGGUAAAUUUCAUCUAAAGCUAAAUACUGGCGAGAGACCGAUAGCGAACAAGUACCGUGAGGGAAAGAUGAAAAGAACUUUGAAAAGAGAGUUAAACAGUACGUGAAAUUGUCAAAAGGGAAGCGUUUGACACCAGUGUUGUUUUCUCGAAAAUCAAUUAAAAAUGGCGGGAUUUUGUGUUGUAUUGACUUUAUCAGCUUUCUGCACUCUUUUCCUGUCUUUUUUAAUGCACUUUUCGUUUAACAAGUCAACAUCAAUUUCUUUUGUUGUAAAAGGGUCAUUGGAGGGUGGCUUUCUUUUCGGAGAAAGUGUUUAUAGCCUUUGACUUCUGCAAUCGGAGAGAUUGAGGUCUGCAGCGUAGAUCCUUCGGGGUUAGAUGCAUUUGUGCUAAGUUAUAGCCUUUCAUAGACAACUUGUUGACUAUGAUCAGUCAUGUAGCUUACUCGCUUAUGUCAUUUUACCUACGCUUAGGAUGUUGACGAUCAGCUGAGCGCG
This 774-nucleotide ribosomal RNA is filed under the name uncultured Neocallimastigales. RNAcentral's name for it is "partial large subunit ribosomal RNA". It matches the Rfam family "Eukaryotic large subunit ribosomal RNA", at positions 26 to 628 of the family's 3401-position model. The record is from RNAcentral. Lineage: Eukaryota; Fungi; Neocallimastigomycota; Neocallimastigomycetes; Neocallimastigales.